AUUUGGUGGCGGCGGUGGCAGUGGCGGUGACGGUGACGGUGGUAGUUCAUAAGAAAUUAUAGUGACGGUCAAAAACUUUAAAAAAAGUGUAAGGAUAUUAAUUAUAAUGUAAUUAAAUUUUUGUAAGGAUUUGACCGUUGGGCCCAAACCACCGGUCCAAAAUGCUUAAGCUCAGUUAUUAUUACUAGCGUGUAGGUCUCAUAUAAACUGAUUGGAAUCAGUAUCCCAUCCUGAUGUGGGACUAUUCG
Molecule: long non-coding RNA, 248 nt
Filed under: Ananas comosus (pineapple)
Lineage: Eukaryota; Viridiplantae; Streptophyta; Magnoliopsida; Poales; Bromeliaceae
Description: long non-coding RNA (ACOM_LNC001522)
Source: RNAcentral